AUGGUAUCUUCGAUGAUUUUACUUGUUUCACCGGUUUCACUUGUUAUAAAGCCAGUGUUCUUUCGGAAUAAUUACACAGGGAGUAAUCUGAAGAUUGGCUGUUUGUAUCAGAAAGGGGCAUUUUUCAUUGACUUUGAUUUUUGUUUCAUAGAAGAUACCGAGUGCCACCCUAAAACCGUUAAAAUCCUCCCACCGGCAGUAGAACAAGUCUUACUGGAGGCGACGGUGACGUUAACCUGCGUUGUGUCCAAUCUUCCUUCUGGAGUCAACGUGACCUGGAAACACGAAAAGAAGCCUCUGAAAUCAGAGAUUGCUGAGCAGCCUGGACAGAAUCCCGACAGCGUGAUCAGCAAAUUAGACAUUUCUACUGAAGCCUGGAUGAGUGGCGUUACUUUUGAAUGCGUGGUGUACCAUCAGAAUCUACCGACUCCGCUGAGAGACUCCAUCCACAAGGAGAAAGUGAUUAAUCCGCUGGAGCCAUCAGUGUCGGUCCUCCUGCCACCAACAGAAGAAAUCUCCGCUCAGAGGUUUCUCUCGCUCACCUGUUUAGUGAGAGGUUUCUCCCCCAGAGAGAUCUUUGUCAAGUGGACAAACAAUGACAAGCCGGUGAAUCCCAGUAACUACAAGAACACCGAGGUGAUGGCGGAGAGUGACAACACCUCCUUCUUCAUCUACAGCCUGUUAUCCAUUACAGCGGAGGAGUGGGCCAGCGGUGCUUCUUACUCCUGUGUGGUGGGACAUGAAGCGAUUCCAUUGAAGAUUAUCAACAGAACAGUCAAUAAGUCCAGCGGUAAACCGAGUUUUGUAAACAUUUCACUUGCACUGAUGGACACUGUUAAUUCAUGUCAAUAA
Non-coding RNA from Chiloscyllium plagiosum (whitespotted bambooshark), 852 nucleotides. The record is from the annotation of a RefSeq genome assembly. Lineage: Eukaryota; Metazoa; Chordata; Chondrichthyes; Orectolobiformes; Hemiscylliidae.